Hippocampus zosterae (dwarf seahorse) is the source of this 227-nucleotide long non-coding RNA. RefSeq lists it as uncharacterized. The record is from RefSeq and is a predicted model, not a curated record. The transcript is spliced from 2 exons. Lineage: Eukaryota; Metazoa; Chordata; Actinopteri; Syngnathiformes; Syngnathidae.
GAGACAUUGACAGCUUGCAAGCGUGUUUGCUCUAUUUGUAAAUGAAACUGAUGCAGUCAAAACAGGAAAAGGGUAACUUUUGAAGAGAGGCGUGAGAGCUUUUGACUCUUCCAGGAAAGAAGAAGUUUGCUGACCUAGUAUAAAGACAGGAAGGCCGGAGUCGAGAUCCAAACCCCAAGCCUCCGAACUGUCUGGCAGCCGUGCUGACCACUAUAAAGCCACAUCCU